Molecule: ribosomal RNA, 497 nt
Filed under: uncultured bacterium
Lineage: Bacteria
Description: partial 16S ribosomal RNA
Rfam family: Bacterial small subunit ribosomal RNA
Source: RNAcentral
GAUGAACGCUGGCGGCGUGCCUAAUACAUGCAGGUCGAGCGAACAGACGAGGAGCUUGCUCCUCUGACGUUAGCGGCGGACGGGUGAGUAACACGUGGAUAACCUACCUAUAAGACUGGGAUAACUUCGGGAAACCGGAGCUAAUACCGGAUAACAUGUUGAACCGCAUGGUUCAACAGUGAAAGACGGUCUUGCUGUCACUUAUAGAUGGAUCCGCGCCGCAUUAGCUAGUUGGUAAGGUAACGGCUUACCAAGGCAACGAUGCGUAGCCGACCUGAGAGGGUGAUCGGCCACACUGGAACUGAGACACGGUCCAGACUCCUACGGGAGGCAGCAGUAGGGAAUCUUCCGCAAUGGGCGAAAGCCUGACGGAGCAACGCCGCGUGAGUGAAGAAGGUCUUCGGAUCGUAAAACUCUGUUAUUAGGGAAGAACAAAUGUGUAAGUAACUAUGCACGUCUUGACGGUACCUAAUCAGAAAGCCACGGCUAACUACGUG